CGAAAGCCUGACGGAGCAAGACCGCGUGAGGGAGGAGGGCCCUUGGGUUGUAAACCUCUUUUGUCAGGGAAGAAGAAAGUGACGGUACCUGACGAAUCAGCCUCGGCUAACUCCGUGCCAGCAGCCGCGGUAAUACGGAGGAGGCAAGCGUUAUCCGGAAUCAUUGGGCGUAAAGCGUCCGCAGGUGGCCGUUCAAGUCUGCUGUCAAAGCACAGGGCUUAACCCUGUUAAGGCGGUGGAAACUGAAAGGCUAGAGUGCGGUAGGGGUAGAGGGAAUUCCCGGUGUAGCGGUGAAAUGCGUAGAGAUCGGGAAGAACAUCGGUGGCGAAAGCGCUCUACUGGACCGCAACUGACACUCAGGGACGAAAGCUAGGGGAGCG
RNAcentral lists this ribosomal RNA (380 nucleotides) under uncultured Coleofasciculus sp. Its description in RNAcentral is "bacterial SSU rRNA". It matches the Rfam family "Bacterial small subunit ribosomal RNA", at positions 376 to 770 of the family's 1533-position model. The record is from RNAcentral. Lineage: Bacteria; Bacillati; Cyanobacteriota; Cyanophyceae; Coleofasciculales; Coleofasciculaceae.